UACGUAGGGUGCAAGCGUUAAUCGGAAUUACUGGGCGUAAAGCGUGCGCAGGCGGUUUUGUAAGUCUGUCGUGAAAUCCCCCGGGCUCAACCUGGGAAUUGCGAUGGAGACUGCAAGGCUAGAAUCUGGCAGAGGGGGGUAGAAUUCCACGUGUGAGCAGUGAAAUGCGUAGAGAUGUGGAGGAACACCGAUGGCGAAGGCAGCCCCCUGGGUCAAGAUUGACGCUCAUGCACGAAAGCGUGGGAGCAAACAGG
This 254-nucleotide ribosomal RNA is filed under the name uncultured bacterium. RNAcentral's name for it is "partial 16S ribosomal RNA". It matches the Rfam family "Bacterial small subunit ribosomal RNA", at positions 524 to 776 of the family's 1533-position model. The record is from RNAcentral.